AGCAGCCGCGGUAAUUCCAGCUCCAAUAGCGUAUAUUAAAGUUGUUGUAGUUAAAAAGCUCGUAGUUGAAUUUCGGGAUCAAUAUUUCGGUCAUGCCGUUGGUAUGCACUGUUAUCAUUGAUUUCUCACCUUCUAAAGAACCAUAAUGCCAUUAAUUUGGUGUUACGGGGAAUUAGGACUGUUACCUUGAAAAAUUAGAAUGUUUAAAGCAGGCUCGCGCUUGAAUACAUUAGCAUGGAAUAAUGAAAUAGGACGUUUGACCCUAUUUUGUUGGUUUCUAGGAUCGACGUAAUGAUUAAUAGGGAUAGUUGGGGGCAUUAGUAUUCAAUUGUCAGAGGUGAAAUUCUUGGAUUUAUUGAAGACUAACUACUGCGAAAGCAUUUGCCAAGGAUGUUUUCAUUAAUCAAGAACGAAAGUUAGGGGAUCGAAGACGAUCAGAUACCGUCGUAGUCUUAACCAUAAACUAUGCCGACUAGGGAUCGGAUGAUGUUAAUUUUUUAAUGACUCUA
RNAcentral lists this ribosomal RNA (509 nucleotides) under uncultured Glomeraceae. RNAcentral's name for it is "SSU rRNA". It matches the Rfam family "Eukaryotic small subunit ribosomal RNA", at positions 569 to 1079 of the family's 1831-position model. Lineage: Eukaryota; Fungi; Glomeromycota; Glomeromycetes; Glomerales; Glomeraceae. The record is from RNAcentral.